UCGGGAAAACAGCCUCCCGUUCUGCAAAGUCAGACGGUGUCCCGUCCAAGCGCUGG
Non-coding RNA from Variovorax paradoxus S110, 56 nucleotides. The record is from Rfam. Lineage: Bacteria; Pseudomonadati; Pseudomonadota; Betaproteobacteria; Burkholderiales; Comamonadaceae.